AUGCAGCACAAGGUAGAAGGUUCGUCGCCUGCGGCGGAUGACUUGCGGCUCCCUCGAUCUUUGGUGCGCUGGAUCUUUCCAGAAAAUACUCCCAUAUGUUGCCCUUUUUCUUCAGAAUCCUUACCUGUUUGUUCUAAGCACAUGGCUACCUUCCUAGAGAAAAGAGUAAUGGAUGGAGAAUUCUGGCACACUCUCGACCUAGACGUAGAACCAAAACGCUGCCUUCCAGUCUCUGUAUCCGCUGAUAUCUCAAUCCUUUGGAUCGUUUCUUUCUUCUUAUGCAGUUCUCUGGAGCCGCUUAUAUUUUAUUUUUAA
This 315-nucleotide ribosomal RNA is filed under the name Triticum aestivum (bread wheat). Its description in RNAcentral is "partial small subunit ribosomal RNA". Lineage: Eukaryota; Viridiplantae; Streptophyta; Magnoliopsida; Poales; Poaceae. The record is from RNAcentral.